Molecule: ribosomal RNA, 496 nt
Filed under: uncultured fungus
Lineage: Eukaryota; Fungi
Description: eukaryotic LSU rRNA
Rfam family: 5.8S ribosomal RNA (bases 160-313)
Source: RNAcentral
GGAUCAUUACAGAGCCCAUGCCCUCCGGGUAGAUCUCCCACCCACUGUUAUCAUUACUCUCGUUGCUUUGGCGGGCCGCCGGCUCCGGCUGGGGCGUGCCCGCCGGAGGCUCCGAGACUCUGAAUGUUACUGUCGUCCGAGUAACUAUUUUAUCGUUAAAACUUUCAACAACGGAUCUCUUGGUUCUGGCAUCGAUGAAGAACGCAGCGAAAUGCGAUAAGUAAUGCAAAUUGCAGAAUUCAGUGAGUCAUCGAAUCUUUGAACGCACAUUGCGCCCUGUGGUAUUCUGCAGGGCUUGCCUGUUCGAGCGUCAUUUCAACCCUCAAGCCCGGCUUGGUGUUGGGCCCUGCCUGGGGUGGGUGGCCCUAAAGACAGUGGCGGUGCCGCCUGGCCCUCAGCGUAGUACAACUCUCGCUCCAAGGUCCGGUGGUGGUCUGUCAGAACCCCCAACUCUGUGGUUGACCUCGGAUCAGGUAGGGAUACCCGCUGAACUUAA